Myotis lucifugus (little brown bat) is the source of this 75-nucleotide non-coding RNA. The record is from Rfam. Lineage: Eukaryota; Metazoa; Chordata; Mammalia; Chiroptera; Vespertilionidae.
GGCGGUUCACAGGUGAUGCACCCCAGAAUCGGGUUCCCUCCUCUCUGCUUCUGGGUGAGUCAUCCGAGAACCUCA